Non-coding RNA from Vicugna pacos (alpaca), 917 nucleotides. NCBI's taxonomy places the organism in Eukaryota, Metazoa, Chordata, Mammalia, Artiodactyla, Camelidae. The record is from RefSeq and is a predicted model, not a curated record.
AGCCAAGCUGGGAUUGAGCUCGCGUCACUUCCGGGAGGAAGCGCCGGCCUCCGGCUGGGGCUCAGGGGUGGGCUCGCGCCUCUCCUGGCCCGGCUUCUGGAACUUCCCACCUUAUGUGCGAUUUCUGGACGGGACGGUGGCUAGUGCUUCAUGUUUACCCUCAUGGUAUGGGAAGGUUAGGAAUGGCGGGCUCCAGGUGCCCUGAUUGAUAGGGCACAUUAACGUUUCUUUUCAUCCAAGAUGCUUGCGCUAGAAGCAAGGACGCAAAGAUGAAAAACCUGGAGAAUUUGCACCCCCACCCCACCCCGCCUGGAGCCCCUGGGGCUAGGACACUGGGUAGCACCGGGGAGAGCACAAACCCAGCCCGACCUGCCUUCCAGAUGAGAAGAGAGAGACUCAGAGAAAUCAGGCCAGUCCCGAGGUCCUGAUGACGGUGAAGGCUGCCUCAUUGAGAGUGCACAGCGUUGGCAAGUUCUGAGUCCCAGCACACCCACAUUCUGGCCAGGUACUCAGGCCACUCACCUGACGUCUGUGAGUGAGUGAUCCUGGGGUCUGUUCCACAUGUCUCAAGCUUUUGUACUGAAAUAUACACGAAGGCCUUGGAGUACAUUUUUAUCCAGCUUAUUCUGCCGGGGUUACAGGAACCAUCUUUGGACACAGACAACUCACUAGUGGGGAGAGGUCUCCACUUGGGGAGGACCGGGCCCUGGGAGGAAAACAAAUGCAGACAGCAGCCUCAUCCUUCUACCAUGAUGGCCAAAUGGGGAAGACUGGCCAGCUAUGAUCCUCCACCAUCCUGUCUGCUCCCCUGCUCCUUCCCAGUCGUGGUACCAUUAGUCUCCAUAGUUACAAACUGAGAACACCAGUGAACAUGAUGGUGGUGGGGAUGCUGACCACAGUAAUGCUGUCUGCAUACC